AUGUAUAUAUAUAUAUACGAAGCCAUCGGGGUGAGUGGUUCUCUUCAUGCUACACGAGUCACCGAGUUUCACCACAUAACAAAAAUUUCACCACACCGUUUAAUAGCAACAAUGCUAGAAAGAAGAAAUAGAAAAAUGAGAGGCCAGGUAAGCUUGAGAAAAGGAGACAUCAGGAAUGAAACACGUUGGAUCAAACAAGACAGACUUGCUCCAGCAAGCGAUGCUUCAACGCCACACCUUUCUUUCCUUUGGAUAAUGAAACAUCCAGGUUUCUGCAUGAGGAAGAAAUGUAGCAACAUAGCAGAAACACAUGGAGAUACGUGCAAUGUAACCUGA
Molecule: ribosomal RNA, 336 nt
Filed under: Triticum aestivum (bread wheat)
Lineage: Eukaryota; Viridiplantae; Streptophyta; Magnoliopsida; Poales; Poaceae
Description: partial small subunit ribosomal RNA
Source: RNAcentral